This 73-nucleotide transfer RNA is filed under the name Caldimicrobium thiodismutans. Its description in RNAcentral is "tRNA-Arg". It matches the Rfam family "tRNA". Rfam says of the family: Transfer RNA (tRNA) molecules are approximately 80 nucleotides in length. Their secondary structure includes four short double-helical elements and three loops (D, anti-codon, and T loops). Further hydrogen bonds mediate the characteristic L-shaped molecular structure. tRNAs have two regions of fundamental functional importance: the anti-codon, which is responsible for specific mRNA codon recognition, and the 3' end, to which the tRNAs corresponding amino acid is attached (by aminoacyl-tRNA synthetases). tRNAs cope with the degeneracy of the genetic code in two manners: having more than one tRNA (with a specific anti-codon) for a particular amino acid; and 'wobble' base-pairing, i.e. permitting non-standard base-pairing at the 3rd anti-codon position. The record is from RNAcentral. Lineage: Bacteria; Pseudomonadati; Thermodesulfobacteriota; Thermodesulfobacteria; Thermodesulfobacteriales; Thermodesulfobacteriaceae. RNAcentral also lists the same sequence under 1 other name.
GGGCCUGUAGCUCAGCGGAGAGAGCACUGGCCUCCGGAGCCAGGGGUCGGGAGUUCAAAUCUCCCCAGGCCCG